AGUUGCUUAGUGUUGGGAAUCUGCCCUGUAUUUAUAGGGCAGUUCCUUAAAGUGAUCGGCGGAGUUAGGGCAUACUCUAAGCGUAGUAAUAUUCUUCUCGCUUCUGUAGUUGUCCUGGCGGCUUGCCGUUAAACCCCUAUAUUUCUAGUGGUUGACCUCGGAUUAGGUAGGAAUACCCGCUGAACUUAAGCAUAUCAAUAAGCGGAGGAAAAGAAACCAACAGGGAUUGCCCUAGUAACGGCGAGUGAAGCGGCAACAGCUCAAAUUUGAAAUCUGGCCCUAGCGGUCCGAGUUGUAAUUUGUAGAGGAUGCUUUUGGUUAGGUGCCUUCUGAGUUCCCUGGAACGGGACGCCAGAGAGGGUGAGAGCCCCGUACGGUUGGACACCGAGCCUCUAUAUAGCUCCUUCGACGAGUCGAGUAGUUUGGGAAUGCUGCUCUAAAUGGGAGGUAAAUUUCUUCUAAAGCUAAAUACCGGCCAGAGACCGAUAGCGCACAAGUAGAGUGAUCGAAAGAUGAAAAGUACUUUGAAAAGAGGGUUAAAUAGCACGUGAAAUUGUUGAAAGGGAAGCGUUUGCGACCAGACUUUUUCCAGGCGGAUCAUCCGGUGUUCUCACCGGUGCACUUCGCCUGGUUUAGGCCAGCAUCGGUUCUCUUAGGGGGAUAAAGGCCUGGGGAACGUAGCUCCUUCGGGAGUGUUAUAGCCCCUAGCGUAAUACCCUUCGGGGGACCGAGGAACGC
RNAcentral lists this ribosomal RNA (738 nucleotides) under Daldinia loculata. RNAcentral's name for it is "eukaryotic LSU rRNA". The stretch from base 153 to 738 matches the Rfam family "Eukaryotic large subunit ribosomal RNA", at positions 1 to 596 of the family's 3401-position model. Lineage: Eukaryota; Fungi; Ascomycota; Sordariomycetes; Xylariales; Hypoxylaceae. The record is from RNAcentral.